Paramormyrops kingsleyae is the source of this 2318-nucleotide long non-coding RNA. RefSeq lists it as uncharacterized. Lineage: Eukaryota; Metazoa; Chordata; Actinopteri; Osteoglossiformes; Mormyridae. The record is from RefSeq and is a predicted model, not a curated record.
GACACGGAAGGGUCGAGAUGUCAGGUCGGCCAAGCUCCACCCCCACCUCACUGACGAUUCCCGCCAGAUGCUGACCAGCUCCUGAACGGCGGGCGGGAGCCCGAUUCAGCGUCUUUUGUUUCUUGUAUAUCACGGUCAUGACAAGAGUGAUUUCCUGGUAGUGGUGAAAUCAUUAGCUCAAAUACAGGGACAGGAAAUUAAGCAACGCCAUAACCGUAGCAAGCCACUGGGAGACAGAUGCUGUCAUGCCUUCAAGGAACCAGUUGGCAGAGCGAUGUUGUCCCUGCAGGAAACGGCAGGCCGGCACAGAGCCGACUGGGCAUGCUCCGAGCUGCGCCACAUGGGCUGUGUGGCUGAUGCCAUUCUGCUGUGCCAGAUGACAGGUGGGCUGGCAACCGGUUUGGCCCGUGGCACUGCGCCCAGAGCAGUUUAAGCACAGAAAUCUCCAAAUCUUCAAAUCAUGCUUAAGCAGCUCUGACCCCCCUCAGUGACCAGAGCUCAGCUGGGAGCCCCCCUCAUCACCUGUCACUCAGGUGCCCCCGUCCCCUGAGCUGACACAGCUUUUCAAUCAUCUUCCUCUAAAGCCCAACUGGAUGUGCCCUACAGACCUGCGGGGCAGGUCUUUCCUGGUCUGCAGAACGAUAGCUCUCUGACUGAACUUCCCCUCUGCAGAUACCAUCUGCCAAGCCGUCUGAAGAGCUGUGGAAUCUUCAGAAACAAGCAGUAUGACUGAAAAGGCUGUUAAAGGCUGAUUAAGAUACAGACUUGACCAGUUUGUCAUCCCAGGACAAUAAAAACUAAACUAAACAUAAUCCUUGGCAUAUGUUACUAGUAGUGAGAAAUUGCCAGAAACUGCAAGAAAUUUGGUAGAAGAUAGCAGCCUAAUGAUUAAAAUACUACUGAAUAAUAUUUAAUAAAAUUAUCAUAAUAAUUUCAAUUAUGCGAUGAUAUCACAUUGUAAGUGUAACUUAAUAAACAUCAGGUUUAACUGGGACACUAAAACAAACACGCUGGGUUUCUUGUUUACGUCCGAACGAUUUUUACAAAAUCGCUUUCAUGCUGAUCAUGGAAAAAUUAACAUAACCCUUCAGAAGGAGGGAAGAAAAUCCCACUUUCAUCCAUACUGCGAUAAUGGCUCCAUUGAAAGGCCCGCUGCAGUCAGCACUGCUGAUUCCAUUGCAGAAACAGCCUAAAACACAAUCGUCCUUUAUUUCUGUUUAUUUCGGGGGCUGCAGCUUCAUCCAGCCAACCUACACAUCUCCAUGCUUUUACCCCAUUUCUAAUUUAAAAAAUUCAUACAGCAAAUUUAGACCCAUAAAAUGCCAAGUGCUUAAUAGCGCCUUUUCCAGCACAGCUGGCCUGAAGCUCUCUCUCCAAACCCUAUUCUGCCUCGACACAAACUGCAUUCCCCCAAUUCCACCCACUAUAAACCAGCCUGAUAACUUUUUCCAUUCUGUGCUUAAGAUGGUUGUAGGUUUCAGUUCUGCCUCCAUCCUGCAACACCAUCAGUAACAGACGGGGGCACUGUUGGGGGGACAGAACAAAUCCAAGGGCCCCUGAGUGACAGAACCCCUAAAAAUUUUUCAACAUAAUUGGAUCGAUCUGGGUUGGGGGCCUUAUAUGAUAAGAUUUCAUGGGGCCCAAAAUCUCUUAAAAUCACCUUUUCUCUUUCAGAUUAUUUUACCUUGUAAAAUGAGAGGACUGUGUUGUUCAGCUUUUUUGGGUUUUUUUUAUAAAUAAACUACAAAGUAAACACUUUUUCCACCCCAUUGCAAUGUGUGUUAAGCCCCAAUUUAGUCAACAGUAUCUAAGCAUUAUUUUUAGGCGAGUUCUUCCUCAGUCGGUUGCCAUCAGGUAUAUAUAAACAAACAAACAAACAAACAAAUAAAUAAUGGAUUUAUGAACAAUGUGGCAGUGCCGUCAUGACAGGUCAAACGCAACGUCCAUUUUCUCCAUGUUAUGGGAACUGCGUCUCAGCUGUCGGACUUAACGCAUUUAUGAGCACAGAUGACACUGUCAGCGCCUGCUUGGCAGAGGUCCCAUGGUGCAGGGUUAGGGUUACACUUCGCCGAUAGGCAUCACCCAGGCUGCUCCAUCAAAAAACAUUUAUGGCCGCGAUUGCGAGGGAGAGGAAGAAAAUAAGGAGGAAGACGGGACAAUGUCUCUGAAGAUCUGGCAGACUGAAGAAUGCUACUCGUCACAACAUGCAAGACACACUGUCUCCUGAAAUGUUAUUUGAUUAAAAACAUGCCACCACAUACAAACACCGAAACUAUAAUAACUGAGCUCUGCUACGCCCUGCUCCUAUUCUAAACCAA